Long non-coding RNA from Triticum urartu, 1603 nucleotides. RefSeq lists it as uncharacterized. The record is from RefSeq and is a predicted model, not a curated record. Lineage: Eukaryota; Viridiplantae; Streptophyta; Magnoliopsida; Poales; Poaceae.
CAUGGGAGAGCGCGCGAGAUGCGAAAAUUUUCGCUCCAAAUAAGCAAAAUCCCCAAACUCCAACUCAGACUAAAAUCCCCAAAUCGACCACCCUGACCUAGCCUCCUCCCCGAGCACAUGCCGCCGCCGCCCCCCACCCUGCGCGGCUGCCGACCGCCCUCCGCCACACUCCAGUGCCAGCUUCCUCCCCGACCACGCGCCGACCACCGUCCGCCACACCUAGUGCCACUCCUCCCGGACCAUGCCGCCGAGCACCCUCCGCCGCCCCGACCACCAUUCGCCGGACCUCCAGCAACGCCCAAGCAGCCAAACCUCCUACACGCAUCCUCCGCCAGGCUCCUCUAGGCUCGAGUUGCUCAAGUGUUUCAGCGGAAGGAUCUGUUCGAGUGAGGUUGUCCACAAGGAUGACGUCUAACUUCCACCAGAUCUGGCAUGAAACGAGGUAAUCCAGUUAGGUUUAGUUUUGAUUUGGCUGUCUUACCUCCCCGUACAGCAGUCUUGGCCUCUUUCCCAUCCGCCCUCGCUGUAGCACAUGGCUGCCAACAUUGUAUUCUCGGCUUGUAGGAUACCCAAGCGACUCGCAGAUGCGAAGGAAAAUUGAGCAAGGUUCCGCCUCCCAUGGUUGAGCAGUCGUAAGGGUUAUGUUGUCUCUCCAUGUUGCUGGUCAUAUGAGCCCAACUAAUAUUUGCUUCCUGUGAUCUACGGAAGGAUAAAAUUGAUGUUUCCUACCUGCCAUACUCAUCUAUUUCUGUUUUCAGUUGACAUGCCUACUGUACGAAUUACAGUCUUUGGUACAUUCACUUAUCCCUUCGAAUUUGACAAGCAUGGAAGAAUCUGAAUAUCACUUAUCCCUCUCCCGUUAUUAUUUAGCAUAUGUUAACUGACUGCUGUGUUUAUGCUUAUAUCCUUCGGUUAUUGUUUAUAACAAACCAAAUUAAGGAUUUUGUGUUCAUCUCUGAAACUUCAUAGUGAUGGUUGGUAUUUAAUCUUUCAAGGAAAUGCAGCAAACUGUUGUACUAGGAAGAUUAUCCUGACAUGGGAGUUUUUUUAGGAACAGGAGAGUUGCACACAUAUGAAGUAUAGAAAUUUAUUCUUAAUGUGCUAGGCUUAAUGCAACUAGAUAAAUAAUGUUCAACAAGGCAUAUUGAUGUGUUAAAUUGUUUUCAGUUUCAGUGUCAAUACAAGAAAGGUAACCUUGUGUUAGAUCUUCAAUCCAAGGGAGAAAUUGGAGCAUCGGGACAUUUAAACCGAACCUAAAUUAAGGUUGAUCUUUACUUGCAAUCUAAUUUGCAUAUUGGUGUGUGUUCUUCAGGAAUCAUGAUACUACUUUAUGAUCUGAUUGGUGAAAGAGGUUGAAAAUGUUCCUGUAAGAUUCGUCAAGAUACCUUGCCUUAACCAUAUGCCCUGAGUUCACACAGAAGUUACAGGCUUUACUCUUUGUGUUUGUUUCAUCUUGUACUGCUCAAGUUUCUAGAAACUACAGAUGCUAAAUUAUGAGGGAAGUCUUCAUGUGUAAUCAAUGAAUUGCUUACAUUGUAAAAUAUUUGAUGAUCAGACUUUAUAAUAUAUAUGCGAUGUGCAUCUGCAUAAUCUUUUUGCUUUA